RNAcentral lists this ribosomal RNA (253 nucleotides) under uncultured prokaryote. Its description in RNAcentral is "partial 16S ribosomal RNA". It matches the Rfam family "Bacterial small subunit ribosomal RNA", at positions 525 to 777 of the family's 1533-position model. The record is from RNAcentral.
ACGUAGGGGGCGAGCGUUGUCCGGAGUUACUGGGCGUAAAGCGUGCGUAGACGGUUAUUUAAGUCGGAUGUGAAAGCCCCGGGCUCAACCUGGGAAUUGCAUUCGAGACUGAAUAGCUAGGGUACGGUAGAGGGAAGUGGAAUUUCCGGUGUAGCGGUGAAAUGCGUAGAUAUCGGAAGGAACAUCAGUGGCGAAAGCGACUUCCUGGACCAGUACCGACGUUCAGGCACGAAAGCGUGGGGAGCAAACAGGA